GACGAACGCUGGCGGCGUGCUUAACACAUGCAAGUCGAGCGGUAAGGCCCUUUCGGGGGUACGACGAGCGGCGAACGGGUGAGUAACACGUGGGUGGACCUGCCCUCAGCUCUGGGAUAAGCCUGGGAAACCGGGUCUAAUACUGGAUAUGACUCCAUGACGCAUGUUGUGGGGUGGAAAGCCUUGUGCGGCUGAGGAUGGGCCCGCGGCCUAUCAGCUUGUU
This 223-nucleotide ribosomal RNA is filed under the name uncultured bacterium. RNAcentral describes it as "partial 16S ribosomal RNA". It matches the Rfam family "Bacterial small subunit ribosomal RNA", at positions 28 to 250 of the family's 1533-position model. The record is from RNAcentral.